This 2796-nucleotide ribosomal RNA is filed under the name Triticum aestivum (bread wheat). RNAcentral describes it as "partial small subunit ribosomal RNA". Lineage: Eukaryota; Viridiplantae; Streptophyta; Magnoliopsida; Poales; Poaceae. The record is from RNAcentral.
AUGUUCGCCGUCAUACACGAGAGAUCAUUGAGUCGGCCUCUCGGGGGGGAAUGCCCACGAAUUGAUAACCUCGAUACUCUGCAGCGCAAAUUGACAGACAUACUGCAAGAAUCAGGGAAAUUCCUACUUGUGUUGGAUGAUGUUUGGUUUGAACCUGUCAAUCAGAGGGAAUGGGACCAAUUGUUAGCUCCUCUAGUUUCCCAAAAGACGGGAAGCAAAGUUUUGGUAACCUCUCGACAGAAUUCAUUUCCCACUGCUCUUUGUUGUGAAGACGUGUGUCCUCUAGAAAACAUGGAAGAUGCUCAGUUCUUGGCACUCUUCAAACACCAUGCAUUCUCGGGGCCAGAAAUCAGAAAUCCGCAGUUGCGCAAGAGGUUGGAAGAUUUUGCAGAGAAGAUUGCUAAAAGGCUUGGACAAUCUCCUUUGGCGGCAAAAGUUGUGGGUUCCCAGUUGAAAGGGGAAACAAAUAUCACGGCAUGGAAGGAUGCUCUUACCAUACUGGUUGACAAAUUAAGUGAGCCCAUGAGAGCUUUGUUGUGGAGUUAUGAUAAGUUAAAUCCACAUCUGCAGAGGUGCUUCCUAUACUGCAGCUUGUUUCCAAAAGGCCACAAGUAUGUCAUUGAUGAGCUGGUUCAUCUUUGGAUGGCUGAGGGCCUCGUAGAUUCAUGCAAUCAAAACAAGAGAGUUGAAGAUAUUGCGAGAGAUUAUUUCAAGGAGAUGAUCUCUGUUUCGUUCUUUCAACCAUUUUAUGAGAAAUGCUAUGUUAUGCACGAUCUCCUUCAUGAUCUGGCAGAAUCACUCUCCAAGGAAGACUACUUCAGGUUGGAAGAUGAUAAGGUGAUGAAAAUUCCAUCCACUGUUCGACAUCUAUCUGUUUGUGUUGGUAGUAUGAUGCAACACAAGCAAAGUAUCUGCAAGCUACAUCAUUUACGCACUAUAAUGUGCAUAGACCCGCUGAUGGAUGAUGUAAGUGACAUUUUUAAUCAGAUACUACAAAAUUUGAAGAAGUUGCGUGUACUAUAUUUGACAUCUUACAGCAGUAGUAAGUUGCCCGAAUCUGUUGGUAAGUUGAAGCACCUUCGGUAUUUGAACAUCAUCAGAACACUGAUUUCUGAAUUGCCAAGAUCACUGUGUACUCUUUACCACUUGCAGUUACUUCUUUUUAGUCACAAAGUUGAGAGUUUGCCUGAGAAGCUGUGUGAUUUAAGAAAGUUACGACAUCUUGAAUGUCAUGAUGAUACAAUAUACACGUCAAGCGAAGAAGCACUGCCUCAAAUUCCUAACAUUGGCAUGCUAACUUCACUUCAACAACUCAAGGAAUUUUCUGUACAAAAUAAAAAUGGAUAUGAGUUGCAACAGCUGGGGGACAUGUACCAGAUUCGUGGCAGUUUAUGUGUCACAAAUAUUGAGAAUGGCACUGGGAAGGAUCAAGCUUUAGAAUCAAAGUUGCAUCAGAAAAUUCAUCUUGGCAGCUUGCGACUUGUCUGGGGUUCCAAGAAUAAAACGAAUUCAGAGGAUAGUUUACAUUUUGAGAUUCUAGAAGGCCUGAUGCCACCGCCUCAACUUGAGAAUCUUGAAAUUGAAGGUUACAAAUCUUCAAAAUACCCAGGCUGGUUACUUGAUGGUUCGUAUUUUGAGAAUUUGGAAUCUUUGAGCUUUGUUAAUUGCAGUGCUUUGCAAAGACUACCAUUCAAUAUUGAACUAUAUAGGAAUUGCUCUUCACUUGUCCUCCGAGAUGUGCCAAACCUAAAGACAUUACCUUGUUUUCCACUAUGCCUUAAAACGUUACUAGUACACAAAUGCCCACUGCUUGUAUUUAUUUCCAACGAUGCGUUGGAACAUGAUGAUAAGAGAGAGAAUUUCAUGAGGACAAACCACUUGGCAUCACGACUUGGUUUAAUCUGGGAGUUAGAUUUAGGAUCAGAUAUUAGGAGACUACUCUCACAGGAACAUUCAUUUCUAAAGCAAUUGAUGAUAUUUAUGCAUGUAGAUGUGGCACAUGUUCAAAAACUUGAAAAUGCUGUAGAAAUAGAGAAAGAUGAAGUAUUGGUAAAAGAGGAUGUCAUCAUGGCAUGUAUAUUGUGUCACGAGCAGAGGAUGAGACUCAUCUAUGGAAGGAGCAUUGGGCUGCCGCUGGUUCCACCAUCAGGACUUUGUGAACUUGAACUUUCUUCAUGCAGUAUUACAGAUGGAGCUUUAGCUGUUUGCCUUGAUGGCCUGGCAUCACUCAAAAGAUUGGUCUUGGUGGAGAUUAUGACUUUAACUACACUUCCUUCAGAAGAGAUCCUCCAACAUUUGACAAAACUUGACUCUUUAUUCAUCGGAGAUAGCUGGUGUCUCAGGUCAUUAGGGGGCUUACGAGCUGCUACCUCCCUUUCAGAAGUUGGACUGGGAUCCUGCCCUUGUUUAGAGUUGGCACGCGGAGCAGAAUGCUUCCCAUUAUCCCUUGGGAGCCUCAGUAUAUACAACUGCGUCCUUGCAGCUGACUUCCUUUGUACUGACUGGCCACAAGUGAACUAUAUUAGCAUAAACAAUUGCAGAAGCCCCGCAAGCUUGUCUAUUGGUAGCCUCACCUCUGUUCGUGCACUCAUUCUGUAUCACUUGCCAGAUUUAUGUACGCUUGAAGGAUUGUCUAGCCAGGAAUUUGAUUUGGUACAUUUGGUUGAUGUUCCGAAGCUCAUCCCUGAGUGUAUCUCACAGUUUCGAGUCAACCACAUACUCCAAGUUAGCAGCUCUGCACUACUCAACAACAUGCUCUCAGCUGAAGGUUCCACGGUUCCACCAUCUCUCUCUUGA